RNAcentral lists this small nuclear RNA (23 nucleotides) under Arabidopsis thaliana (thale cress). RNAcentral describes it as "snRNA_15465". The record is from RNAcentral. Lineage: Eukaryota; Viridiplantae; Streptophyta; Magnoliopsida; Brassicales; Brassicaceae.
CGUACAACUCUUUUUUAUAGUUU